AACUUAACUUAUUUAAUUAAGUUUGUUAACCUUACUUAGUUUACCUAAGUAAUCCCAACUUUUUUCUAUGCAAACUCAAGUCAACUUGAUUAAACUUAACAGAUUAAUUUAGCUCAACUUAAAAUUUCAAGUAUUUUCAAAAAGGAUGACUGCACAGUAGGUGGCAGUAAUGCUCCCAAGGAGUAAGUGGUGGCUUAACUGAGUGGUUAACUGAAGAAGACGACAACAGCACAUGGUCGGAUAAGAGCAUGAGGAGCAGGAGCUUGUUUCUUUGAAGAGAGUGCAUACCCUUCAUGGAAAGUCAGUAACGUUACUGUGGAGUACAACCAAGUCGCAAGCAAAAACCUCAAGCAAGAAUUGUUCUCAUCUCUUGCUAAACAUGGUUUUUGAAGAUUUUGAAUGAAAGAAAAGUUUAAAAGCUCUCGAGUAUCUAACAAACAUCACUGAUGUCAGUGCUCAGUGGACGGUAGUUCUCUGUGGUCUUGCUAUCCUUCUUGCGGAAGACACUACAGACUUCCGGAAAACAAACAUGGACUGUGAUGGUGACCCACUUCAACUAUCAUUAGGAAUUCUCAGUCUGGUGCCGGAGGACAGACACAUUUCUCCACAUGGUUUACAGCAAUUAUUUGGUAGGGUGUCACAGCCAUGGAUGGACUUGAGAAAGUAUCACAUGCCAUGUGUUUAGUUUUUGGACUGAUCGUUGUUUUAAAUAUGGAGUACCUCUUCACAGCUUAUUUUGAGUUUAUUCACAGGGUUUUUCUUUCCCUGGGGCACAAAUCACUAAAGUCAAAACUGCCAUAUACAAAACAUACUAAUGUGAAGUAGUGUGUUUUGUGUGAAACAAGUCCUUGUUACUGUAGAUCUGUUGCA
Non-coding RNA from Misgurnus anguillicaudatus (oriental weatherfish), 870 nucleotides. Lineage: Eukaryota; Metazoa; Chordata; Actinopteri; Cypriniformes; Cobitidae. The record is from RefSeq and is a predicted model, not a curated record.